CGUCUUUUCGCGGCGCGCGGGAACGCCUAUAUAAGCGUUGCCGGCCGCAAGGUCGGCUAUGGCGAUAAACGGUCGAUGCAAUAAACCAUUCGGACCCGGGGGCGGUACCCGGCGCCUCCACCGGAAGGCCUCGUGUGUGGGGCCUUGCGGCGGGGGCGAAACAGGAUCGACGAGGGUGUAAAGAUCGAACUUUCGCUCGGCAUGGUACCGCCGUUAUCGGGCUAUUUUAUAGUUGCCAACGACAACUAUGCGGAAGCCCGUCUCGCUGCUUAAUGCAGCGCGAUAGCUUCGAAUCAAGCCCUGCGGGUUCGCACUCGUAGGCGGGGUUCGGAGGCACCUGGCAACAGAAGCCUCCACU
RNAcentral lists this transfer-messenger RNA (358 nucleotides) under Methylobacterium mesophilicum. It matches the Rfam family "Alphaproteobacteria transfer-messenger RNA". Rfam says of the family: Bacterial tmRNA, also known as 10Sa RNA or SsrA, is named for its dual tRNA and mRNA-like properties. Its role is to liberate the mRNA from a stalled ribosome. The record is from RNAcentral. Lineage: Bacteria; Pseudomonadati; Pseudomonadota; Alphaproteobacteria; Hyphomicrobiales; Methylobacteriaceae.